AGGAGAAAAAUGUCUGAAAAAUCUCAUAAAGCCAUGUCAGACGCUCACUGGAUUUCACGUCUGAAAAAGUUUGCCAGCACAGGAGUUUGGCCAUCAAAUGAGGGCAACAGGCCAGCUCCUCAACAAAAAAAGUGGCAUGAGAUUUAUCAAAGGAUUGAGAAAUGCCCAUUGCAAUCUCGUGGGCAGAGGACCUUGCUUGAAGGUGUGCUGAAAUGCACAUGUGGUUUUCACACUCAAAAGCAUAGUACUGCUUCUGCUGCUCCAGCACAAACGGUGCAACAACCUGCCCCUACUGUACCUGCUGAGGAGGUGAUGGAGACGAGACAACUUGAGGCCCAGCCCCAGCCCCCGUCUACUCCAUCAGUGGCAUCAAAGAUUUCACCGCAAUUGUCAAUGGUACAUUUUUUUUUAAAUCAAAAGAAAUGACAAUUUCAGUGAUUCAAGAGUUCAAGGUGUUCAAAGUUCAGUUCAAAGUUCAAACAUAGGAGAGAAAAGAACAAAAAGCAAUAAAAAAAGUUGAGGUGUUGCUAGAAACCUGCUUCUUUUCAUACCUCUUCUACAGUGGGGGAUAGUUUCUAAUUGCUUGAAAUGUAAUGUGAUAUACACUAAUGUUCAAAAAAUUAUUAUUGUUAAAAUAUAAAAGCUUAAUAUUAAUCAUAUUUUGCAAGAAUUCUAUUGUGUUUGAUUUGCUCAUCAAUUAAGUAGAUUUUAUUUGAUUUGAAUUGUUUGAAUAAAUUAUUCUUUAUUUAUUUAAUUUGCCUAUAUUAUUAUUUCACAUUAUUCCAGUUUUUACUAAAUAUUUGAUCAAAUAAAUGUAGCCUUGAUAAACAUAAUUAAAACAUAAAAAAAAAUACAUUGAGCAGAUCGCAA
Danio rerio (zebrafish) is the source of this 870-nucleotide long non-coding RNA. NCBI's taxonomy places the organism in Eukaryota, Metazoa, Chordata, Actinopteri, Cypriniformes, Danionidae. The record is from Ensembl.